RNAcentral lists this non-coding RNA (104 nucleotides) under Streptomyces sp. The record is from RNAcentral. Lineage: Bacteria; Bacillati; Actinomycetota; Actinomycetes; Kitasatosporales; Streptomycetaceae.
GCCGGUGCGAAUCCGGCGCUGACCCGCAACCGUGAGCGGCCCACCACCGUCGCCGCGCGAACGCCGUCGUCGUCCGCGCACGGCGGCCAUGGCCGUGAGCCGGA